AGGGAUUCCGGCCAGGGUCCCUCCCCAAGUGGAGGGCCCUGCUGGGCCGGGAAAACUACACUUCCCGGCAUGCCUCACCUCGGGUGCGCCUGCGUGCCGGAGCAACCCUGCUGGCGAGCGGGUUGGUUUAAAGAGCUGUUUUAGUUCCAUGGAAACAAACUUGCUGCCUGGAGGACCGAGCUACGGGCUGUUGGAUGAAUCAGGGGUGCAAAUGGAAACUACAGUGUGCAGACCAGUCCUGUCUCCAACCCACAUCAAUGGGACAGCUUCUGAAACGUUCACAGUACUUCAGCAGAAGAUGAGAAUAGUUGAGGAACAGACCAGCUCUCUGAGAGAUGACCUAAUAAUGCUAGGAUACGGUGACAGACGAGGUCAAUUAGAAACUCCAAACUAUUUAGAAGACCCUGCCAGCCAGAAAGCCAUUAGUCCUAUCCCAAAUGAAGUAAUUUGUCCAGAAAGCCCAGGUAAUUUGUGGAGGAACUAUGAAUUUCUGGUAAAUCGAAUGUGCUACUUGGAGAACCUCAUUCAGUCCUUGAAGAUGAACAUCUUUCACCUGCAAACUGAAAAGGAAUCGAAUCCACAGAAAACAGCUUUUCUGAACGAUCAGCUGAAUAUAAUACAAGGGGAGCAUUCCAAGGGCCUGAAGCUGUUGCAACUUGAAGUGAUGAAUUUGCGCCAGCAAUUGAAAGUUGUCAAGGAGGAAGAAGACAGGGCACAGGAUGAAAUGCAGAGAUUGACUGCCACUCUGGAAAUUGCCACGGAGACAAAGAAGAAUGCGGCUGUUAUUGAGGAGGAACUAAAGACCACAAAGCGUAAAAUGAACCUUAAAAUCCAAGAGCUACGGCGACAACUGGCUCAGGAGAAGCUUGUCAGGGAAUCUCUUGAGACAUCUGCAUCGUCCAUGCUCCUCAAAGUACAAGAGAUGGGGUCAGUGGUGGAGGCAGAACGGCAGCAGGUACACGCUUUGCAGGAGAAGUGCACUGCCCUACACAGCUCUAUGAAAACAACCCAAGACCUGCUGGCCCAGGAACAGCGGAAGAAUGAAGACUUGGGGAUGACUAUCUCGCAGCUCAAGUCUGAUCUGAAUUCCAGAGAUAACCUCAUUUGCAAGUUGGUGGAAGAAAAUAAGGCUACACAAAUAUCUCUCAAGAAAGAACAUGAAGAAAACAUAUAUUUGAAAUCUGAAAUACUAUCCCUUCAAGAUGUAUCAGGAAAAGCACAGGUUUUGAAUGACCAGCUUUCCAAAAAGUGUUCAGAGCUAACCAGCAUGCUUCAGGUUGUUAAAAUGGAAAAUUCAAGAAUUAUUGCUGAACAUCAAGCUAUUUUGAAGGUUGAGCAGAAAAUGAUAACAGAGACAUUUCAAGAGCAAAAUUUACUGUUAGACGCAGCCCAUGCCAGCAUCACAGGAGAGCUCCAAGCUGUGCAGAAUGAAAAGGCGCAACUCCAGAUACACCUAGACCAUUUAAUCCUUGAGCACAAUCAGUGUCUUCAGAAAUCACAGGAGGCUGAGAAGAGGACAGUGGUCCAAAAAGAACUUCUGGAAUCAACUAUUGCAAGACUACAAGGUGAACUGAAAGCAUCAUUGCAGGAGAAGAAGUCUCUGCUGGAGAAGAAUGAGUGGUUUCAGAGGGAGGUUAAUAAAACAGAAAAAGAAGUAGCCAAAGAAAAAUGCAAUUUGGAAAAAGAAUUAGCUGAAAGCAAGGAAGACAUUAAUGUGUUGAAUCAAAACCUGCAGACUCUAAUGGAAGAAAAUAAGCAUCUAACAAAUAAAAUGGCUUCCCUUGAACAUCACAAAGCCACUUCUGACUACCAAGGGAAAGUGGAAAAGGCCUUGGAAAAAAUUACUGAUAGCAAAAAUAUGCUCGCCUAUGAAAAGGGGAAACUCCAGUAGUAUAAAAGCAAAUCUUGCUGCCCUGCUUCUGGCUCCAGGUCCCUGGGUGGGACCACUGUGACCCGAUGGCUGCUCUCUGGAGUUGGAGAGUGGGAGGCAGUGCAGCUGAGGAUCUGAAAGGAAGAGACAAAGGUUAAACAGCUAGAAGCACAGCUUCACACAUUCGCUGAAACCAUGCUGCAGAAGGACCAUCUACAUAAGCUGAAUAAGGCUUUAGAGGUCAAAUAUACUCAGGCAAACUCAGAGCUGAGUGCCAGCAAGGCGUAUCUGGAGCAGACAGAAGCUCACCUGAAAGAGAUGAAAUCUAUUCUUGGGAAAAAUGAGGAAGAACUGGCCCAAGCAGUGAAGUGUCGAGAUGCUGCCCUGAAAGAGAGCCAGAAGUUGAAAGGGGACCUGAAGGCAUUGGAGGACAGGGAGAGCAAGAAGGUGGGAAACUUUCAGAAACAAUUAGCAGAGGCUAAAGAAGACAACUGCAAAGUUACAAUCAUGCUGGAAAAUGUGCUGGCUUCUCACAGUAAGAUGCAGGGAGCCCUGGAGAAAGUCCAGAUAGAGCUCGGACGGAGGGAUUCGGAGAUCGCAGGCCUUAAGAAGGAAAGGUCUCUAAAUCAACAAAGAGUACAAAAGCUUGAAGCGGAAGUGGACCAGUGGCAGGCCAGGAUGCUGAUUGUGGAGGCCCAGCACGGCAGUGAGAUUGAGCCACUACAGAAGUCUCUAGAUAUAACUAGAGAAGACAACAGGAAACUGGCCAUGAGCCUAGAGCAAGCUCUCCAGACAAAUGGCCAUCUGCAGUCAAAGCUUGAUCACCUCCAAGAAAAACUGGAAAGCAAAGAGCGUGAGCGGCAGAGUCUGGAAGCCUUCAAAGAGCAGGUUGCUGAGGAAUCCAAAGUAGAAGCAGAAUUGCAUGCAGAGCGCAUUGAAGCUCUGAGGAAGCAGUUUCAAACCGAGAGAGAGACUGCAAAGAAAGCAUCACAGAGGGAAGUUUCUGAGCUGAAGAAAGCUCUUGACGAAGCCAACUUCAGGUCGGUGGAAGUGUCCCGGGCAAACCGAGAGCUACGACACAAAGCUACGGAGCUGGAAAAAGUGGUGAACAGUAACAAGGAAAAACUCAAGAACCAAAGGGCCCAAAUAAAGCUGCACUUGUCAGCCAAGGCAAAUAACGCACAGAACAUGGAGAGGAUGAAGCAAAUAGAAAUGGAAUUGAGGCAAAUGGAGAUAAUUAAGGAUCAAUAUCAGAAAAAGAACUAUGAACAGUCCUUGAGCAUCCAGAGAUUUGUAUCUGAGAUGAAUACCCUGCAGAAGGAGAUGGAGCUGUUAACUAAGAGCCAGUAUGAGACCUCGGCGAGAAAUAAGCAGCAGGAGCUGAGACUAGUGGCUGAGAGAAAAAUGAGGCUGGAACUAGAAAAUCGGUGCAAGGAAUUGGAAGAAACUAUCAGACACCUGAAGAGAUGUAAAGAAGCAACAGAAAAUAAACUAAAAGAAGCCAGUGUGGAGUCAGAACAGUCUCACCCAGAGAGCACUUCCUCAGACUGAUGGCUGUCGGGACACUGUACAAACACAUUGCAAGGAACCCAUGGGAGAUAUGAGUCUUCUGAUGUACAAGGUUCGAUGGACUACAACUUGAGCUGACAAAAAACCGGUUGCAGAGGCUUCCCCGGGAAGACAGGUGGCUGGAAGAGAAUCAAGAUAUGAUGCAUAAUGUUGCAACCAGCCAAUCUGUUCUACAUCGAUGGGAAACUAAGCAGAAGUACCAUUCUGACACAGAGAGGAAGAAGUGACCUUGACACAGGUGUCUCCUCCGUAGAAGCUAUUCUGCUGGCCAGCAAGUGGGGCUGGCCUGUUUCUACGUUAGAAGACCAUGAUGUGUGCUGAAGGUUUUGGGCUUUGUCCUUUAUGAACUCUUUUCUAUUACUGCAGAACCAACCCAUCUCUUUGUCCCUUUCCCUAUUUUCUUCCAAAUAAAUUUAAACUAGUUUGUUUUAUGAUAGUAGAUGUGUCACAUGGUAUUUGCUGUUUUCAGGAAGAAUUUAGUGUUGUGUGAAAUGGCCACAGUAAGAUGUUCUAGAUGAAUUUUGUACGAUGUUCUCUGGAAAUAAAAUUAUUUGUAAAAAUA
Molecule: RNA transcript, 4001 nt
Organism: Mus musculus (house mouse)
Lineage: Eukaryota; Metazoa; Chordata; Mammalia; Rodentia; Muridae
Gene: Ccdc150
Gene name: coiled-coil domain containing 150
Exons: 31
Source: RefSeq, marked validated